RNAcentral lists this long non-coding RNA (28031 nucleotides) under Durio zibethinus. RNAcentral's name for it is "long non-coding RNA (DZIB_LNC001513)". The record is from RNAcentral. Lineage: Eukaryota; Viridiplantae; Streptophyta; Magnoliopsida; Malvales; Malvaceae.
CAGUAAUCGAUGCUUCAUUGAUAGACCAUGGCAUUGAUCGACUAGUGGAUUGAUCAGAUUCCAUCUCCUUGUUUGGCAUACUUCCCUCUGUUCUGCUGUGAAGGAAAAAUGCCGGUUGGUUAGGUAAUGGUAGUGUGACAGAGUAACUGUUAAGCAUGAGAACAAUAGUAGUCAUCGUAGGCCUGUCAACUGGAUCUUCCUGAACACAUAAUAACCCAAUUUGGAUGCAUCUAAUGACUUCAUUUCUAGAGUAAGUAUCCCUCAGAAUAGGAUCCAACAAUUCCAAUGGCGUCCCAUCCUUCCAAUGUUUCCAAGCCUGCAGUGGUUCAUCAAGUAAGAUUUAAAAAGUCACCUCACCUUAAAUUUUAAUUUCGUUUUUCGUAUAGGCUGAAUUAUACUCACGUAGCUAAGGAGGUCCAUCUGUUUGAUAGAAAUUAGUGUUCCUUUGGCCACUAAUAAUUUCGAGAACUAAAACACCAAAACUAUAUGCAUCUGAUUUCACAGAAAACUGCCCUUGCAUUGCAUAUUCGGGAGACAUGUAGCCACUCUAGAACCAUUAGCAAUGUUAGUAUAAUGACAAGAACAAAAAGUUUUAGUUUGAUCUAAUAAUUUAUUUAUGCUAACAACAAUCAGGAUAGCUUGUUAUAAAUGAUUUAGCUGGAGGUGUUAAUAUGUCACAAGGAUUCCUAAAUUCCAUUAAAAGCAGGGUAUAACCAAAAUGAGCUUUUAUUUCUUUAAGUUGUUCAACAAUUAGGAUGCAACAACUCAUGGUUAAAUUGCGUAUGAAACUUAUGCAAACAAAUGCUAAACAUGUUCAAAACUUACUAGGUACCAACAACUCUUCUGGUGGUUCCUUGAGUUUGAUCAACACCAAAAAUCCUUGCCAUGCCAAAAUCUGAAAUUUUUGGAUUCAUUUCACCAUCUAAUAAUAUAUUGCUGGCCUUGAGGUCCCGGUGUACGAUUCUAAGCCGAGAAUCCUCAUGCAGAUAAAGCAUUCCUCGAGCAAUCCCUCCUAUGAUCUUGUAACGUCUUGACCAAUCCAAUUGUCCUUGUUUUGCAGGAUCUAUAAAAAUAAAUAGAUAAAUAAAUAAAUGAAUAAGCAGUUUUGUUCACACAGCAAAUCUAAGAUUAAGAUAUACCCAUGUAUCUCUCUAGGCAGUGUUUAAAAUCAAUUAAAAGUCCCAACAAAAUUCUUGCAACAGUAUAUUACACGUACCAAAAAGAAAAUAGUCCAGACUUUUAUUGGGCACAAAUUCAUACAAGAGUAUCUUUUCUUCUCCUUCCAAGCAAAAUCCGAGUAGUCUCACUAGAUUUCUGUGUUGAAGCUUGGCAACCAAUACAGCCUCAUUUUUAAAUUCCUCCACCCCUUGCCCUGAACUUCUCGAUAACCUCUUAACAGCUAUUUCUUGUCCGUUAGGAAGGGUACCCUGCGAAUGUAAGAUACCCCUCAUUAGAAAAGCUUUCUGAGAGUUUGAGUUUGGACUCUGUAUGCAUGGAUAAAAUGGCUGCAUGGAUAAAAUGGCUACAAGUCAUUAAAUACUAAUAAUACCUUGUAAACUUCACCAAAACCACCUUCUCCUAGCUUGUUCCUAUCUGAGAAGUUGUUUGUGGCAACUUGUAUCAUGCUAAAAUCAUACUACAGUGACUCUAUUGUGGUUAUAUCAUUUCCUGCUGUAAAAUCAAACUAGCAAAUGUCAUAUUCUGUAAAACAUUAUCAAAGAACAGGGUGAAACCGAAGAACUGAGAUUGUUUUGGCUCAAAAUAAGUUGUGUUUUACCAUUUUCUCCUUCUAUAGCUUUGUAUUUCCUUGCUCUCCUUUUUAAUAGACAACAACCCACGAAGAAAAGCAAAACAGAGGCAGAAAUUGGAGCAAUAAUGGCAAUAAUUAUUUGCCACGAAUUUUGGCUUUUCCCUGCAGAAGCAAUAAAGAAUUAAAGAUGUGUCACGAUAAUUUCUAAUACCAUAAAGCAUACUUUAGAAGGUGGAGAGGAUAUGUGGAAGGCUACAACUAUCAAAUAAAAUCAAAUUCAAAUUCAUUUGUGACUUUUAGUUCCAGAUGUCUCUGCAGCGCAAUCUCUCCCAAUGUCAAUUCCUCAAUUCCAUCAAUUCCAUCAAUUAAUGGCAAAUUUUAGUGUGGGUAAUAUUUUGGAAGAAAACUGUAAGGCAUAUAAUCGUCCUAAAUAUAAUUAUUUAACUCAACUAACAAAAAUAAAUAAAAAGGCAAUAGUACGGUUGGUAUGACUGCACCUGGAGCUGCUGGAGAAGGAGGUAUUAUCACAGACGGAGGUGACGGAACUGCAACUGCAGUUUGAUUAUAGAACUGGUAAAGUUCAUAUCUAAUGUUGCAGCUAGGAUUCAGCACUCUUCCCCCUUGCUUUCCAUUGCAACAAUUGGGCAGAGCCGCUAUAUUUCCUCGCAGACACGUAUUACAAUCCGAGCUUGACAGGUCAGGAGUACACUGCACAAGGCUGUACAGUGUUUGAAACCCUGAAAUAUUCGCCUCUCUUGUCGCAAAGUUUUUUAAACCUAACGUAGCAUUUACAGCCAGGGUUGCCGCAUUAUUCAUCGUAUCAGCCAGUAUCUGGUCAAAACGCUCUUGGUCCGUGACAUUUCCCGUGUUCCACAUAUAGAAUGCAGGAAAAACGGUCGCAAUGGAAAAGAUAGAUCGAUUCGAGUAAUGUAAGAGGCAAUUAUCAUACCAAAUCACAGCAAUUUUUUCAACAGGACAACGUUGAGUGACGUCAUUGAUGGCGGUAGAGACACAUUCUUGGCAGCUACUAUUUGAAACAUCACCCCUGCAGAGAAACAGCCCGUAGACCACGUCAGAGUUUCUGCCAGAGGUUGUGCUGUAGAAUCGAUUGUCACGGGUGGCGUUGGAGGAUAGAGAGGAGAGCAGGUGAUUGAGAUCGGCUUGGUAAGUACCGUUUGUGGGAAAAGUGGUCGUGUUCGAACAACUAUGGUAGAGGUAAGUUUGUUGCGCUUCAAUGGUAAAGCUAAGCAAGGAGAGGAACAACAGAGUUCUGAAGGACUUGUAGACAAACAUUUUUUCUGUUUCUUUUUUCCUCGGACCGUAACAGAGAUGAGUUUCUCAAUAUGGGGUUUCCACCGGCACUAAAAGACUUGUACUUCAAGACGCCAACAGUGAAAAACCAGGUGUAGCCAAUUUAAUGGGCCGUCUUAGGCAACCUUGAAAGAUGUAAAGACAUUUACGUGUCUUUGAUGGAUGGGAUGGGAGUUGGAGAUAAAUGUCAAGUGCCGGUUUCACAUUCAUGGUGCCUUAAAAUCGCAGGCGCACUGAUUGGAAGUUAGUGCUCCUGGUUGUAACAUACUUUUUUCAUUACAUUUAGAUUUCUUUGAUCCUCUGUCAAAUGUGUCCCUACCAUUCCAUUCAUCUAAAGGAGGUUUUUUUUUUUUUUUUUUCAAUACUAUUAUAUAAAAAUAUUUUAUGAUUUAUUUUCAAAGUUCUUUGAUCUUUUGGUCGAAUAAGUAUAGUUUAAUUUUAAUAAUAAACGCUUGAAUUAAUUCUUUGAAUAAAAACAGAUAUACUUCAAAAAAGAAAAUCACAUACAUCUAUAGCCAAAAUUUUUUUUUCUUUUGUAUAUUAUUGAUUUAUGUAGAUAUCUCCCAUUCUUUUGUUGAAAAGGUUUAAGUACAUUUUUCGGUGUCAUUCAGCCAAAAAAGGCUUAACAAGUGUUCAGAAGCUAGCAUCCUUAGAAUAGUGCAAUAAAGGGAGAUGCAACUACUAAUCAAUCACCGAGGUGAGAUAUUUGAAAUUGUAACCUCAUUAACAGAACAGAAUUUAUUAUUUGAAGAUGAUUGAAUUGGUUCUGCAACAACACGUCCAACAGAAAAUGCAGGUUCUGCUGGUAUAGGAGGUGUUAUGGUCUCGCUUGCCAACAUGACAAUCACAGAUGACAUGGUAGGUCUGUCUGCUGGGUCUUCUUGCACGCACAACAGCCCAAUAUGGAUGCAUUUAAGAACCUGAGUGGCCACACACGACUGAACAAGGAGCGGGUCUAUUAGCUCCAUCCCUUGACCCUUAGACCAUAGUUUCCAUGCCUGCAAUGUUACUUAAAAUUAGAAUGGUACAACACUACAGCCAUCUACAAAGAUAGGAUAAAAACGUACAAACGUUAGGAGGCUUUCACCAUGCUCCGAGAGAUGAAAGCCAUUGUUCCUUUUGCCACUUAUAAUCUCCAGUAAAAGGACUCCAAAACUGAAAACAUCGGAUUUGACUGAAAAAAGUCCUUCCAUAGCAUACUCUGGUGCCAUGUAUCCACUAUUUCAGUUCAUAAAAAUAGAUAAAAUCAGGCUAGAUUAUGGAAAUAUCAGAACCAAGAAUCUUUCAGUUUGAACAUUGUGCUGUCACAAAAUUGAAGGAUGAUUACAAAUUUUAGAUUAUAAAGAACAGCAAUGUUCCUCUGCGGAACAAACCACAGCAAAGACUGUGAUCUGAUGUACUGCUUUUCCAUUUUAUGAGUUCAAUGCUGAUUCUUUCUUUUCAAUAAAAUUUUAUUUGACACAGACGCAAUAUUAAAGAUCAAAAGAAAACUACUGAAGAACCUAGAUUGGUAAAAAAAAAAAAAAAGAACUGUGAGCCUAGAAGUGCAUGGAAUAGUGGACUUACUAUGUUCCAACCACUCUAUUUGUAUUUGCUUCAUUUUGAUUUCCACCAAAAAUUCUUGCCAUUCCAAAAUCUGAUAUCUUUGGGUUCAUCUCGUGAUCUAGCAAAACAUUGCUAGCUUUAAGAUCUCUAUGAAUAAUUCUAAGACGAGAAUCCUCAUGUAAAUACAGGAUGCCUCGGGCAAUGCCCUUAAUAAUGCCAAGACGCUUCUGCCAAUCCAGUUGCAAACCAAUGCUUGAAUCUGGAAAGGAACCCCCCAAAAGAAUAAUAGUAGUUAGUUGAUUUUUUAACAUAUUGCAUGAAGAAUCCUGUUAAAAAACAGAAUGAAACAAUAAUUUUUUGUUUGAGGAUCAAACCAAAGAGGAACACAUCAAGGCUUUUAUUGGGCAUGUAUUCAUAAACAAGCAGUUUUUCGUUCUGCUCCAAGCAGCAGCCCAGGAGUCUCACAAGAUUUCUAUGUUGUAGUCUGGCAAUUAACAUCACUUCAUUCUUGAACUCAAGUAACCCUUGCCCAGAAGUUCUAGCGAGCCUUUUAACUGCAAUUUCUUUUCCAUCUGCCAAUUUGCCCUAAAAGAAGGAAUUACAAAGCAUCAUAAAAGAACUAAUUAUGUGAAGUUGAAGAGGUGCAUCGUAUACUAAAAGUAUAACAUUCCAUCACCAUGGUCACCUUAUACACAGGGCCAAAUCCACCUUCUCCAAGUUUAUUUUCAUCACAAAAUUGUUUUGUCGCUGCUUGUAAAAUAUCUAACUGAAUCGAGGGAAACUCCUGAGAUCUCACCCCACUCUCACCUUGAAAAUUUUCAAUUGAGUAGUCAUCGCCAGAUCUUCCUCCUAAUUCAAGUAACUGAACUUCUUGGCUGUUAUGAUCUAUAUUCUCUUCAAGAAAAAAUGAAGUGGAUGUAAGAUCCAAUUUCAUACCUUGAAAUUUUCUCCUUCUCCAAAGGAAAAUACCUCCAGAACAGAACAGAGUGACGCCAAAAAUCGUGGAUAAACUUGCAACAAUAGGAACCCACUUUGAUUCGCCUUUUUUGACACCUUCUAAGUCUGUUACUGCAAAAGAAAGUUAUCUUUCACUUGAUUAUUAGUGGAAUAAAUUUCUAAUUUUUGUGUUCUUCUUGCUGUUUCUAUUUUACGGAUAUGAAUUCAUUUAUAAUUAGUUUCUGUAGCAGGUAUUUGUCCUACUUUCUUUUUUGAUGGAUGAAAAGUUCAGUAAUUAAAAAUUAGGCAAGCUAAAUUCUCUAGCAUCUGAUGAUACUAACCGUUUGAGCCACUGGUUUUGUUUACUGAAGGUUGGGGUGCUUUUGGUUCAACUCCAGGAUUCUUGAUAAUCGUAUUGUUUGGUGAUUCGUCUCGAGGUUUUCCAUAAAAUGGAUAUAUCUCAUACCUGAUGUUACAGCUUGGUCCUAACACUCUCGCACCUUGUUUUCCAAUUGCGAAAGAUGGGAUUACAGCAAUUGAGCUACGUAGACAAGAUUGACAGUCUGCAACUGACAAAUCACGGGUGCAUUGAGCAAGUCCAUACAGCUUCAUAGAAAUUGAAACAUUAACUUCUGUAGUUGCAUACAUGCGGUUAGAAGCAUUUGAAAGCUUCGUAAUCAGAUUGUUGUAAGUCUCGGCGAGAUUCUUUUCAAAUUUAUCAGGAUCCGUUACAUUUUUAAUAUUAUACAUACCAAUAGAAGGUGAUAGCUCCAUGAUAGAGAAGAAAGAUCUAUAGGAAUAGCGCAAAAGGCAUUCAUCAUACCAUAUGAUCGCUUCUUUGUCAUUAGCGCACUCCUCCAAGAUCUUAGCGGUUGCUGCGUCAAUGCAGCUUUGGCAGAUAUUGAGUUGAACAUCACCUCUACAGAGGAAAAGGCCAUAAACCUUGUCUUGAUUUUCCCCUUUUGUAUCGCUAAAGAAACCAUAAUUACUUCCUUGAUCAUAAAGCUGGCGGAUGAGAAGGCGCUGAAGGUUGUAAUCGAACUGGCUGGAACGAUUAUAUCUUCCCCGGCAACUUGCAGAGAGAUAAGUCGGCUGUAUUUCGGACAUGUUUUGUGAGAUAACAAGGAGCGGAGAAGAAAGAAAGAAGAGCAGGUAAAAUGCUCCUGAAACAGAAAGAACAACAUAAUAGUGCAUUUUCUUCCAAUGUUUUUCAAUAAUUCAGAAAUCUGAAUUUUAAGGCCAUAAUUUGUCCGGAAUGGGUUAUUAACUGAGACUUCUGACUCGUUCACUUCCACAACUCUUGUCUGCAGAAGAAAUUAUCCCCACAUUCUUUAACCUUUUUUGACCAAGCACGGCACAAACAUAAUCUGUACUGUUUCUCCAACACUAAAAAAAAUGUUAUUAAUUGUUUUGAUCAUCAUGAAAAUUUCUGAUUAAUUAUUUAUGUUAUGUCGUUACCAAGCUUUUACUUAGCUAAGGUAAUUAUUAUUAUCUAAGUUCUCUACUAUUUUUUAAGAUUUACCACUUUGUUAAAGCUUAGUUUAUUACAAUAGAAUAAUUGAAUAAAGGCUCUCAAUAAAUUAAUAAAAAUUUUAUUUGUGAAAUUGAUUAUAAUUUAAAAUUUGAUCAAAUGUAAAAGGUUAAAUAGUCUUCACCCUAUAAAAUAAUUUUAUUUUUUUUAUAAAACACAUAUAUGCUUUCAUUCUAUGUAUAUGAUUAAUGUUACUAUAAAUCAGUUUUGUGCAUAUAUUAUUAUGUAUUAAUUUAUUAUUAUACAAUAAUAUUGAUAUAAUUUUAAUACUUAUAUUUAUAAAAUAAGAGGACCUUUGCUUACGAAUUAAUAUGGUGGAGUGACAUAAUAUCAUUUUCGGAGGUGACGUCAUUACUCUUUCUAGAAGUGAUGUAUUGUCAAAACAGCUGGAGACUUAGCCACUAAGUACAGUCACUUAGACACGCCGUGUAAGACUUAAAUUAAGUAAUUUUAUUUCUAUAUUUGUAAAUUUUCCUUUAAAAAAAUUAUAAAAUAAAUUUUUAUUAUUGAAUUUUGCUAACAAAAAUCUUUAAAAAAACAUUUUAAAAUUAUUAUAUUAAAUAAUAUUUUCUUUCAAUAUAUUAAAAAUUGAUAUAUUAAUUGUCAAUUAUUCAUUAAACAAAAAUAUUAUCAUAAAUACAAUAUUAAUUAAUCUUAAAAAUUCGUUAACAAAACUUUUUAUUAUCAACUAUAUCACUUAUCGCCGGUAUCAACCCUUCCCCUAGAAAAAGAAAGCACUUAAACGUCUUGGAAAACCAGUAAACCAGUCACGACAUUGCAAUUUUCAACUUAAAUUGGGAUCAACAAGUAAAGUUUUUCAAAGAUAUAUUUAUUUUUUACAAAAUAUUAAAUUUUAUAUAUUUAUAUUAUAUUUUAUAUAAAAAUUAUAUAUCAUAAUUUAUAUCGAUAUAAAAAUAUAUAAUAUAUUUUUUAUUUUAUUAAAUUUAUAUAUAAUUAUUAUUAAAAUUUAAAAUUAUAUCAUUUUUAUUUUUAUAUUAUAUUUAUAUUUAUAUUAUAUUAUUAUAUUUUAAAUUAUUAAAUCUAAUUCUCCAACUCUAAUAGAUGACAUUCGAGGUAAAAGUCGAUUCAACGCAAAGUUAGAAUAUUAUUUGCUAACAAGAAGAAGCAAAUGCACCCCCCCACUGUGAUACUUGAGGUAGAAGUCGUUUCCAAGACGCAGUCGAAUAUUAUUUGCUAACAACAAGAAGCAAAUAGAAUAUUCAAGAGAAAGAAAAAAGAAGAGAAAAUCAUUGAAUUUACGUACAACUUUAGGCAAAUAAACAAAUGGGCGGCAAAGUUUAUCAAUAAUUGGAGUAGUUCCAGGAAGAUGCUUUUAGCCCUUUCACCGCUUUAAAGCCAGACGACGCUGGGAUACCUUGACCUGCCCAAAACAGAGAGUUCAAUGAUCAACGAACCGCAUUGGAUAGCUUGUUUUGUCUAAACUUGUCCUUAAAUAUUAGAAGUCCUAAUAAUGCUAAAAUAACAAAAAAAAAAAAAGGUCUCUUAAAUUUCAUAACUUUAAUUAAAUAAAUUUUUAUAUUUUUAUUAUAUUUAAAUAAAUAUUUAAUAUUUAAUUUGCACUCAUAUAAUCCUUUAACAUUUAAUUUGUAUGUAAAUAAAUUAUUAAACUUGUAAUUUCUACAUAAAUAAUUCUUUAUAAAUUAUUCUUUUAUUUGAAAUGAAAAUUUAUUUAGAUACAAAUCAAAUUAUAAAAAUUUAUUUAGAUAUAAUAAAAAUAUAAGAGUUUAUUUUAAAAUAAUAAAAUAAUUCAAAGAUUUUUUUUAAUAUUUUAACUGACUAAUAAUUAUGCUUUGCAUACAUACAUGUGAGACAAUUAUUAAAAUCUGGUAAAUUGAAAGGGUGUAAAUAUUAGAUGGCCUGUUAACAGAACAAUGUCAUCAAUAUGAACAAAAAGGAAUAGAAAUUUUGAACAUUGAACUUUUAUCAUAUCAAAAAUAAUUUAGAGUAGUUAAAUUAAAUUCAUCAAUUUUUUUUACUCGGCCAAAUGUAUUCAACGGGCUGAGAUAUUAGAUAUUGUCAUCAGAUAUAUUAAUGAAUCUAUUGUAGAAAGGCUGAUCAACAAUAAUAACUCUGCCAACAGGCAAAAGCAGGUCUUUUGCCUCAGGAAGAGCAAAUAAGGGUCCACUGGUCCCAGUUGUUUUCCUUCUUUCCAUAGUCCCCAGGCCUGCCAAUGAAUUCACAUAUAUCAAAUUUUUGACAGAAUACAAUAUUGCAAUGGUGGGAAGGACACUUCAAUUUUGAUGACAAAUUACAGGUAUACCUACAUGUGCACGAAGUGUCGGGGCAUGUUCCGUUUGGUAAAAGUCACUAUUUUUUUCCCCCAGCAAUUUCAAUCUUGAGAAUGAUAGAGAUGUUUUAAUUCCCUCAGUUGGAGUCCCCAUGAAAUUUUGACUUCCAGCAGCCUUUUACAGUUGAAUUGUUGACACCUACAACCUUGUAGCCUCAAAAUUAGCCACUGUAAAAAGUUGAAUUAUAAAAAGUUUUGGUGUAAUAAGUAUUGUUUAAUUUUAAUAGUAAAUGACUGAAUGUAAUUCUUUGAAUAAAAAUAGAUACACUUUUGAAAAAAAAUCAAAUACGACUGAAUCUGUAGCCAAUUUUUUUUCUUUUGUAUAUUGAUAUGUGAACAUAUCUCAGCCAAAAUAGGCUUAGUAAGUGUUGAGAAGCUAGCAUCCUUAGAAUAGUGAAAUAAAGGAAGAUGCAACCACUAAUCAAUCACCGAGGUGAGAUAUUUGAAAUUGUAACCUCAUUAACAGAACAGAAUCUAUCAUUUGAAGUGGAUUGAAUUGGUUCUGCAACAAAACGUCCAUCAGAAAAUGCAGGUUCUGCUGGUAGAGGAAGUGUUAUGGUCUCGCUUGCCAACAUGACAAUCACAGAUGAUAUGGUAGGUCUGUCCCGCUGGGUCUACUUGCACGCACAAUAGCCCAAUAUGGAUUCAUUUAAGAACCCGAGUGGCCACACACGAUUGAACAAGUACCGGAUCUAAUAGCUCCAUUCCUUGACCUUUAGACCAUAGUUUACAUGCCUGUAAUGUUUCCUGAAAUUAGAAUGGUACGGUACUACAGCCAUCUAUUUUUUUAACACAAAGAUAGGAUAAAAACAUACAAACGUUAGGAGGCUUUCACCACGCUCUGAAAGAUGAAAGCCAUUGUUUCUUUUACCGCUUAUUAUCUCAAGCAAAAAGGACCCCAAAACUGAAAACAUUAGAUUUGACGGAAAAAAGUCCUUCCAUAGCAUACUCUGGUGCCAUGUAUCCACUAUUUCAGUUCAAAGGAAUAGAUAAAUUAGGUUAGAUUAUGGUAAUAUCAAAACCAAGAAUUGUUAAGUUUGAACAUUAUUCUAUCAUAAAAUUGAAGUAUGAUUACAAAUUUUAGAUUGUAAAGAACAGCCAAGUUCCUCUGCAGAAUAAACCUUAGCAAAGACUGUAAUCUGAUGUACUGCUUUUCCAUUGUACGAGUUCAAUGCUAAUUCUUUCUUUUCAAUAAAAUUUUAUUUGACACAGAUGCAAUAUUAAAGAUCAAAAGAAAACUACUGAAGAACCAAGAUUGGUAAAAAAAAAAAAAAAGAAUUGUGAGCCUAGAAGUGUGUGGGAUAGUGGACUAACUAUGUUCCAACCACUCUAUUUGUAUUUGCUUCAUUGUGAUUUCCACCAAAAAUUCUUGCUAUUCCAAAAUCUGAUAUCUUUGGGUUCAUUUCGUGAUCUAGCAAAACAUUGCUAGCUUUAAGAUCCCUAUGAAUAAUUCUAAGACGAGAAUCCUCAUGUAAAUACACGAUGCCUCGGGCAAUGCCAUUAAUAAUGCUAUGGCGCUUCUGCCAAUCCAGUUGCACACCAAUGCUUGAAUCUGGAAAGGACCACCCAAAAGAAUAAUAGUAGUUAGUUGAUUUUUUACCAUAUUGCAUGAAGAAUCCUGUUAAAAAACAGAAUGAAACAAUAAUUUUUUGUUUAAGGAUCAAACCAAAGAGGAACACAUCAAUGCUUUUAUUGGGCAUGUAUUCAUAGACAAGCAGUUUUUCGUUUUGCUCCAAGCAGCAGCCCAGGAGUCUAUGUUGUAGCCUGGCAAUUAACACGACUUCAUUCUUGAACUCAAGUAACCCUUGCCCAAAAGUUCUAGAGAAGCUUUUAACUGCAAUUUCUUUUCCAUCUGCCAAUUUGCCCUAAAAGAAGGAAUUAAAAAGCAUCAUAAAAGAACUAAUUAUAUGAAGUUGAAGAGGUGCAUCGUAUUCUAAAAGUAUAAUACUCUAUCACCAUAGUUACCUUGUAUACAGGGCCAAAUCCACCUUCUCCAAGUUUAUUUUCAUAACAAAAUUAUUUUGUUGCUGUUUGUAAAAUAUCUAACUGAAUCGAAGGGAACUCCUUAGAUCUCACCCCACUCUCACCUUGGAAAUUUUCAUUUGAGUAUUCAUCGCUAGCUCUUCCUCCUAAUUCAAUUAAGUGAACUUCAUGGCUGUCAUGAUCUAUAUUCUCUUCAAGAGAAAACAAUUAAUUGGGAUAACAAUUGAGUCAAGAAGAAAGUGAAGAGCAAGUAAGAUCCAAUGCAUACCUUGAAAAUUUCUCCUUCUCCAAAAGAAAAUACCUCCAGAACAGAACAGAAUGACGGUAAAAAUCGCGGAUAAACUUGCAACAAUAGGAAUCCACUUUGAUUUGCCUUGUUUGCCACCUUCUAAGUCUGUUACUACAAAAGAAUGUCAUCUUUCAGUUGAUUUUUAGUGGAAUAAAUUUCUAAUUUUUGUAUUCUUCCUGCUGUUUCUAUUUUGCAGAUAUUAAUUAAUUUGUUAUUAGUUUCUGUAGCAGGUAUUUGUCCUACUUUCUUUUUUGAUGGAUGAAAAUUUCAGUAAUUAAAAAUUAGGCAAGCUAAAUCUCUAGCAUCUGAUGAUACUAACCGUUUGAGCCACUUGUUUUGUUUACCGAAGGAAGGGGUGCUUCUGAUUCAAUUCCAGGAUUCUUGAUUAUCGUAGUGUUUGGUGAUUGGUCUCGAGGUUUUCCAUAAAAUGGAUAUAUCUCAUACCUGAUGUUACAGCUUGGUCGUAAAACUCUCGCACCUUGUUUUCCAGUCGCGAAAGGUGGGAUUACAGCAAUUGAUCUACGUAGACAAAUAUGUAAACUUGCUUAUCAGGAAUUCUUAUGAAUAUUUAUCCUAUAAUCCUAUAAUUUUUUGACAUUUUUUCAUAUCUAAAGAUUUUACUAUUUAUAAAUAUACAAAUUUAUCUAUCAAAAAAAUUUUUUUUUAAUAUUUUUUUCUCUUACAAGUUUUUUAUCUAUUACACAAUAUUUAAUCAAUUUUAAACAAAAUUUUUCUAAACUUUGAACCACUAUUCUUUACACUAUUUCCGAUUUCAACUUCUCAACGAACAUUAGAAGUAUUAAUAAUUAUGUCUUGCAUGCAUAGGUGAGACAAAAUUUGUUAAAACGUGUCGAGCAUUAAUGUAUUAAAAGGGUAUAAACGUUGGAUGUCCCGUUAACAGAACAAUCUCAUAAAUAUUCUUGUUACAUUUGAUUUGAACAAAAUAGGAAAAGAAAUUUUGAACAAUGCUCCUUUUAUCAUGAGUUAAUUGUUUGCAAAAUCAAGAUAGUGUUAACAUGCUUAAAACCUUCACGAUUUAGAAAUUGAUAGAUAAACGUUCCAAACACAAAGCUGUAAAAAAUUUCUUAAAAAAGAUUAAAAUCCAUGCUUGAUGCAAACCUAACUGAACAAAAUUAUAAGAAAAGCCAAAGCAAUGCAGUGUCUGCAUCUCCCAGUCCUUGUUGAAUUUAGAUAAAAAAAACUAAAGGUUGAGAUGUGACCAUUUCUAGAAAUAAUGAGCACGGCAUCUGGCCAAAAACAGAAGGGUAAUUAAAUGCGAGGCUAGAACAUGGGAAAAUUCAGUGGUUUGGUGGUUAAACUCUGACUUUGACAAAACAAAAGUAUGGUAAUUAUUUCGAAAGCCAAGCCCCUUGGUGUGUCGACAUUUUCAUGUAGAAACAUUACGGGAGGUGUCAUCUGUUCACUGCCUAAUUCUGUACUUCAGGAACCAGGGCAAAAUUCUGAGAGAACUGAGAAUUGCCGGUAGUUUAAAAUAUAAUGUACCUUAUAUUAGAUAAAAAAAUUUAAUUAUUAUUGAAUAAAAUUAAUUUUUAUAUUAAUUUUAUUUAUAUUUUAAAUAAUUAUAUUUGAAUAAAAAUAAUUAUUAUAUAAUAAAUUAUCAUAAUUAUUUAAAUAUAAAUAUAUUAUUAUUUAUAAAAGUUAUGAUUAUAUAAAAGGUGAUAAUCAUUUGAAUAAAAAUUUAUAGCUAUUUAUUUAUUAUAAAUAAAUCUUUCAAUAUAAUUAUUUUUAUUAUUUUUUAUUAGAGAGUUUGAAAUUUUGUUAUAUCCUAAAGAUAUAAUUAACUUUAAAAAAAUAUUUUUCAUACCUCAAAAUUGAAAUUAUUUUUGAUUAUUUCUCUUUUUUUAUUUAUUUUUUGUAAUAAUUUAAAGGUAAUUAUGAAGAAUUUUUUAUAUUUUAUAUUUAUGGAGAUGCAAAAGAAAGAAAUUUAUAAAUGUUUUGGUGAAAUUUAAAUUCUUGAAAUAAUUAUAAAUAAAGAGAAAUAAUUCUCUACCACGAUGUUAGAUAAGUUUUCUUUAAUUUUUAUUCAAAAUUAAUAUGUUAUUAAUUCAUUGUUUGAUUCCGUUGCAUAAAUCCAAUUUCAUUAUUGUUUUUCAUAUUACUUGGGCUUUUGGAAUUUAUUAAUUGUGCAUUCCAAAAGCUUCACUGAAAUGGAUUUUUCAAAAUUGUAACUUGUAGUAGUCUGAAAUUAAUAGGGUGAAUAUAUGCAUGAAAAUUGUCGUUGAUUUUGGAUUGGAUAAUAAGCCAAGAGCAAGUUUAUACAUGAAGUUAUAAUGUGAUUAAUUGAAAUUGGCUUAGAUAGUCGUAAGCUGAAAUGGGUUCUGUAUAUAUGAUAAAAAUUGGAUUUAGACAUAAUAAAUGAUCUCUUUUGUUCAAUACUAAUGAGAAUUUGGAAAAGAAAAUAGGUUUUAAGGAAAUUGAGAUAAUUGAUUGGGAUCUUUGUUCACAAUAGAAGUUAAUAGAAGUGAAAUGGAGUGUCACAAUAAACUUAUUUUUAAUUAUUUGUGGUUAAUUAAUACAUAUAUUAAUUAAAUGCUUGUUUAUUAUUAUUUUUUAUGCUUACAUUGUUUAGUCAUGCUUGCAUUAACAUGCUUUGAGUUAAAUGGAAUGUUUAUAUAGAGGAGAAUUUGAUUAAUUCAGCUUUAUACUUAUUAUUAAUACAAUUUGCUAAUAACAUGCAUUUAUUAUUUGGUCAAAAGGCAUGAUUGAAAUUUUAAUUUUUGAAUAAGCAUGACUUUAUGUUUACCCUGACAAUCAUUAAAUAAAAGAAUUACGAAAAUAUUGUUAAAUUUAUUAAAACCAUAAGAUAAUGUUUUAAUUGAAAAAAGCUAGAAAAGUAAUAAUAUAUAUUUGCAAUUGUAAUAUUUUGCCCAUAUGAGAUUUAUUUAGAGUAUUAUUAUGUAAUUUAGGGUUAAAUACAUAUUUAGCUCAUGAACUUUAUAAUUUUUAUCACAUUGGUACUUAAAGAAAUUUUUUGUCACAUUGAUACUUAAACUUUUAAAUCGUUAUCACUUUGGAAUCUCUAAUUAACAUUGAUGGUCAAUUUUACUGAUGUAACAUGAAUAUCUUAUACGAUAUUAGUAUGUGUCUAAAAAGUUUAAUCAAUACCAUAUCAUUAAUGUCACGUCAUGCCCACAUCACAUUUAAAAGAAAAUUUUAAAAAAUUCUAAAAUCUUUAAACAAUUCUAAAACAUAUAUAAAAAUUCUAAAAAAUAUUUUUUUAAAAAAAGAAAAGUAUUAAAAAUUCUAAAAAGUAUUAAAGAAUUUUGAAAAAAUUAUAAAUUUUUUAAAAAAAUUUUAAAAAUUCUAAAAACUUUAAAAUUUUCUAAAACAUUUUAAAACAUCAAAAAAAUUAAAAAAUUAUCAAAAUUCAAAAUAAUUUUAAAAUAUUUUAAAAUAUUUUUAAAAACUUCUAAAAAUUUUUAAAAAUAAUUUGAAAAUUUGAAAAUUUUUUUAAAUUUCUUAAAAAAUUCUAAACAUUAUUGGAAAAUUAUAAAAAAAAGUUUAAAAAUUUGAAACUUAUAACAAAAUUAAAAAUAUGAAAUAUUUUAUAAAUUAUAAAAAUUAUCGUAAUUUGGAAAAUUUUAAAAUUUUUGAAAAUUUCUUAAAAAAUCAAAAAACUUAAAAAAAAAGUUAAAAUUUAUAAAAAUUAAAAUUUCUUAAAGCUUUUUAAAAAAUACAAAAACUUAAAAAAACUAAAAAUAAGAAAAAAAUCUAAAAUCUUUUAAAAUCUUUUCAAAAAUUAAAAAAUUUCAAAAUUUUGAAAUAUUAUAAAAAUUUUAAAAAAUCUAAAAUAUAAAAAAAUUAAAUUUUAAAUAAAAAUCCAAAACAUAUAAAAAAUUGACAAAUUAAAAAAUAUAUAAAAAGUUGAAAUUGUAAGAUUAAAAAAUAUAUAAAAAUUUUAGAACCUUCUAAAGAUUUUUAUAUUUUUUCAAAAAAAUUUUGAAUUUUGAAUUUUGAAUUUUGAAUUUUUCUUUUUGUUUUUUUUUUUUUUUGAGUUUUUCUCUUUGUUUUAAAAAAAAAAAUUUAACAAAAUUUUUAUAAUCAUUAAUUUUUUUAUUCUUUUCAUUUUUCUAUUUUUUAUUUGAAUUUUUUUAUUUUUUUUAAUUUUCAAAAAUUUUUAUUUUAAAAUUUUUCAAAAAUUUUUAAAUUUUUCUAGAAUUUUUUUAAAAAUUAUUUUUUAAUAUCUUAAUUUUUUUCAAAAUUUAAAAAUUUUUAUAAUUAUUUAAUUUUUAAAAAAAAUGUUCAAAAAUUUGAAAUUAUUUAAUUUUUGAAAAGAUUUUAAAAUUUUCUAGAAUUUUAAAAAAUCUUUAAUUUUUUUGAUAUCUUAAUUUUUUCAAAAUUUUAAAAAUUUAUUAAAACCAUGAGAUAAUGUUUUAAUUGAAAAAGGCUAGAGAAGUAGUAAUAUAUAUUUGCUAUUAUAAUAUUUUGCCCAUAUGAGAUUUAUUUAGAGCAUUAUUAUGUAAUUUAGGGUUAAAUACAUAUUUGGCUCAUGAAUUUUAUAAUUUUUAUCAUAUCGGCAUUUAAAAGAUUUUUUUGUCACAUUAGUAUUUGAACUUUCAAAUCGUUAUCACUUUGGGAUCUUUAAUUGACGCUGUUAGUCAAUUUUAUUGAUGUAACAUAAAUACCCUAUACGAUAUUAACAUAUGUCUAAAAAGUCUAAUCAACACUACAUCAUUAAUGCCAUGUCAUGCUCACAUCAUAUUUAAAAGAAAAUUUUUUAAAAAUUCUAAAAUUUUUAAACAAUUCUAAAAUAUAUAUAAAAAUUCUAAAAAAAAUUUUAAAACUAAGAAACGUAUUAAAAAUUUUUAAAAAUUCUAAAAACUUUAAAAAUUUCUAAAAAAUUUUAAAACUUCAAAAAACUAUUAAAAAUUAUAAAAAUCCUAAAUAAUUCUAUAAAAUUUUUAAAAUUUUUUAAAAUUUAUAAAAAAUAAUUAAAAUUUCUCAAAAAUUUUUUAAAAACUUGUAAAAAUAAUUUUUAAUACACAAAUAUUUUUAAAAUUUCUCAAAAAAUUCUAAACAAUUUUAAAAAAAUUCUAAACAUUAUUGGAAAAUUGUAACAAAAUUUUGAAAAAUUUGAAAUUUAUAAAGAUUAAAAAUAUGAAAUAUUUUUAUAAGUUAUAAAAAUUAUCAUAAUUUGGAAAAUUUUAAAAAUUCUGAAAAUUUCUUAAAAAAUAAAAAAAUUCAAAAAAAGUUAAAAUUUAUAAAAAUUAAAAUUUCUUAAAAUUUUAAAAAAAUACAUAAACUUAAAAGAUUAAAAAGAAGAAAAAAUCUAAAAACUUUUAAAAUCUUUUCAACAAUUAAAUAAUUUCAAAAUUUUGAAACAUUAUAUAAAAUUGAAAAAAAUUGAAAAAAAAAACUUAAAUUUUAAAUAAGAAUCCAAAACAUAUAAAAACUUAAAAAAAUUAAAAAAUAUGUAAAAAGUUGAAAUUGUAAGAUUAAAAAAUAUGUAAAAUUUUAGAACCUUUUAACUAUUUUUAUAUUUUUUCAAAAAAUUUUUGAAUAUUGCUUUUUGUUUUUUUGAACCUUCUCUUUUUGUUUUAAAUUUAACAAAGUUUUAAAAAUUUUUAAAAUCAUCAUUUUUUUAUUCUUUUAAUUUUUUAAUUUUUUAUUGAAUUUUUAAUUUUCUAGAAUUUUUAGAAAUUUCGAUUUUUUGAUAUCUUAAUUUUUAAAAUUUUUAAAAUUUUUUAAUUUUCUAAAAAUUUUUUGAAAUUAUUUUAAAGUUUUUAGAAUUUUUGAAAAAUUUUUAUAAUUUUAAAAAAUUUUUCAUAUUUUUUAGAUUUUUUUUGAAUUUUUUAAAGUUUUUAAUAUUUUUUUAAUUUUUAAAAAUUUUUAGAUUCUUUAUUUGAAUUUUUAAAAUUUUUUAAAUUUAAAAAAAAUUAUUUUAGAAUUUUUAGAAUAUUUUUUUGAAAAUUUUAAGCUUUUUGUUUAGAUUAUUUUUUUGAAGUUUUGAAUUCUUUGAAUUUUUUAGAAAAUUUUAAAUUUUUUUGAAUUCUUUUAGAAUUUUUAAAUAUUUUUCUUUUAAGUAUGAUAUUAGCAUGACAUGGCAUGAUAUGGUAUUGAUGAUGUGGCACUAGUUAGACUUUUGAUAUGUGUCAGUAUCUUAUUGGAUAUUCAUAUUAUAUCAACAAAGUUGACUAAUGGCGUUAGUCAAAGUUACUAACAUAAUAAAGAUUUGAAAGAUCAGGUAUCAAUAUAACAGAAAAAUUUUUUAGGUACCAAUGUGAUCAAAAUUAUAAAGUUCAGGGGUCAAAUAUAUAUUUAACCCUAUACUUUAUAGUUUGGGAAAUAAGUGUAUGCAUUAUUAAUAUAAUGAUUAUGACCAUGUACAUAUCCAAGGUAAAAUGCACUUAUAUUUAAUAUAUCCAUCAUGCAUACUGCAUUUGCAAGAGAUCUCCGAAAGAGAUACUAUGGAAUUAUAAUAGAAACACAUAUAAGAGGGUUAUGUUCAAUUGUGGUGCCAUAAAAAUCUUGGCAAUGUCAAGAACAUAAAACAUAUAUCCAUUUUUAUAUUUAGAUAAAAGGGUCAUGUUCAACUGUGGUGCCAUAAAAAUCUUGGCAAUGUCAACAAUAUAAAGCAUAUAUUCAUUUUUAUAUUUAUAUGUAUAUCAGCUAAAAAUGAAUAUUGAGUUUUUCAAGUCUUUUAAUUUAAUGAAUGAACAAAGACCACUUAAUGAUGUUAAAUUCAUGGUUCCAUGGGUUAUCACAUUUCAUGGCUUGAAUACAUAUUUUGUGAAUUUUUGUGUAUGGUAAUGAAUUGAAACAUCCAUGAGCCUAGAAUUGGACAUAGAGAACUCAUGCAUGGUUUGCCAUAUAUUAAAAAAAUAAAUGGAAACUCAAAUUAUCUUAUUAUUAGCAUAUAUUGCAUUUAUAUACAUAACAUUGAAAAAAAAAGUGUACAAGUCUUUGUGGUACAUGAGUUUUUAUAGUUUCAGGGUAAGGGUAUUGAUGAGAGCUUAUAUAUGCAACAUUAAUAUAUGGACUUGAUAAUGAUGAUAGCUUUCAAUAACCUCAAUCCUUGGAAUUAAUCGCUAAAUGAGUUAUUCAUGAAGAAUGAGGUAUGAUUCUUAAAUGAACAGUGCUUUUGAUAAAUUUAAAAAUAUUUAUUUGUAUAUAAUACAAAAAUGGUUUUUCUUAAUGAUUUUUGCAUAAAAGUGAUGUUUGUUUAAUUUUAUUUGAUAAUAAUCAUAGCUUGUAUAAACGAUUUACAUCUCAUUAUUUUAUUAAAAGUUUUGAGAUAUAGUGAAAAUAUAAAAUUAUAUUCACAUUGAAAGUCAUGGGUGAUUCAAAGAUUUUGUGAAUAUAAAAAAAAUAGCAAAAUGAAUUCCAUUUGAUCCAUUUGGAUGAUGGACAUGGUUUUGCUCGUGAUAAAAUUAUGUUAAUAGUGUUUAUGAUGAAAUAUAUUCAUAAGUUUCCAUGAGUUGGUAUAAAAGUCUCAAAAAAAGACUUUAGAAAAUAUAAGUUUACUAAAAUAAAAAAAUUUUUUUGAAAGUGAUUAUAUUUGACAUAAUUCUUAUUGAUAUAUACUUUCAUACUGGGUUUAAAUAAAAGUUUUGAAACUUUUAUGAGAAGAAAAUAUUAAGAUAUAGAAUAUUUGCUAGUUAUUUUUUACUAAAGUUUGGAGGCCUCCUACUUAAAAAAAAAAAUCACCUAAUAGCGAAAAGAUAAAUGAGAUAGCAACUUAAUUAAGUAUAUAUGAUAUUAAGAAGUGGAUGGAAAUUAAGAAGUGGAUGGAAAUUAAAAUAAUUUUUUUACAUCAAUUUAUUAUAUGAUAGGAUUGAAAAAUGAAACUUACAUUAUUUUAUCAUUAUAAAUAUUUUAAGUAAAAACUAAAAAGAAAAAUUCUAAAAGUAAAUGAAUAUUUUCUAUUUAUAAUAUUUGACUCAGUCCUCUUUUAUUUUCUACCUUUAAUCUUUUUUAUUUGUAAUGAUUUUUUAUGAAUAAAAAUAAAAAAUGACAAUCUCUCUCUCUCUCUCUCUCUUAUGAUAUGGCUCAAGUCAACUGCAGCUUAACCUACAGAUAAAGCUUAAAUAUUAUGAGUUAAGAAAUCCUAACCGACAGUUGCUACAGAGCAACUUCGCGGAAGAACUUUCGAGUGGAAAUCAUAAAUGCUACGACGGAUUUUCUUAUUCAGAUAAACUACGUAGAAAACUAGAAAUGCAAUGAAUUGACAUAUAUCAUGUGGAAAAAUAAUUUAAAGGUCGUGUAUGUUUGACAUAUUGAGGUAGCACUCAAUUCCAGCACGCCGUUGAUCAUUUACAAACCACUAGAAGCAAAUGCAGGGCCAGUUCAUAAUGUGUGCUUGAAGGGGUCUUCUCCCCCAAAAUUUUGAAACCUUCUAUUAUAUAAUUUAUAUUUUGUUAAAUAAAUUUAAAUUGAUCCCCAAAUUGAGAAUAUUAAUAUUUUUUUAUUUUUUUAUGAUUUCGUAAUCUUGCAAUUUAAUUAAGGGGUUAAAAUUACAUUACUAUUUAUCUUUUUAUUAUAUCCACUAAUCAUUAUUUAGAAAUCUUUAAAAUCAAAAAUUUUGUUGUUUAUUUUAAAUCACAACAAUAUGAUUUUAAUUUUUUAGCUUUCCUGACAAUAUUAAGUUUCUAAUCAAGUAUUAAAUUUGUUUUUUUUUUUGUAAAGAAUUAAAAGAGUGUAAACGUUGGUUGUCCGGUUAAUGGAACAAUCUCAUAAAUAUUCUUGUUAAAUUUGAUUUGAAAAAAAAAAAAAAGAAAUUUUGAGCAAUGCAUGAAGUUGAUUGUUUGCAAAAUCAAAAUCGUGUUAACAUGCUUAAAACCUUCACGAUUUAGAAAUUGAUAAAUUCCGACAGCGAUAACGUUCCAAGCUCAAAGCUGUAAAAAAUUUCUUAAAAAUGAUUAAAAACCAUGCUUGAUGCAGACUUAACUGAAUAAAAUUCCAGAAAGCCACGGCAACGCGGUGUCUGCAUCUCCCAGUCCUCGUUGAAUCUUGACAAAAAACUAAAGUUUGAGAUGUGACCAUUUCCAAAAGCAUCUGUCCAAUUAUUGCGAGGCUAAAAGAAGUUCAAGGCAACAUGGGAAAAUUCCUUGGUUAGGUGGUGGAACUCUGACUUUGACAAGUCAAAAGUAUGGUAAUUAAUUCGAAAGCCAUGUGUCAAAAUUUUCAUAUGGAAACAAGCAGGGAGGUGUCUUCUGUUCUCUGCCUAAUUAUGUUCUCCAGGAGCCAGGAUAAAAUUCUGCCGCUGACUUGGACAUCGGUGUCAGAGAAGUGAGGAUUACGGAAUAAUUAUUGAGAAUUUCACACGUUUUUAGAUGAGAUCCACUUUAUCAAUUUUUUUUUACGAUUUUUUUUUAAAUCAUCAUUUGGUAAAUUUUGUAUUUUACGAAGUUUAACUAAGAUGACAUAUGACAUUUCUCGAUAAUUUUUUUAAGUUAAAUUAGUUUUGUGAAAAAAAUUGAGACCGAUGAAAUUAUAUACAUGGCACUCUUAAUUAGCGUUUUAUGUUUUAUAUUAUUUAAUUUUUAAUUAAAUAAAAUUUUAAAAUAAAAUAUAUCAAUUAAUAAAAAUAUCAAAAUAAUUUGUAUUUAUUUAAUUUUAAUCCAUUCUAAUUUGAUAUGAGUGAUUUUUUAAAUUGAAAUUAAAUUGAGAUAAUAUUUAAAUUUUUUUAAAAUAAGAGUAGGACAAAAAAAAUACUCUUUCACAAUUCAUUUUUUGUAUAUAUAAAAAUAUUUUUUAAAAAAUUUUAUUAUAUACAUUUAUUAAUAAAAUUAUUAUUUUUUAAAUUGGUAAUUGAAUCUUCUUUUUUUUUUUUUUUUCUCAUCCUCUUUUUUCUGAUGUUUAUGUACAUAAGGAUUUAGGUGCGAUUAUAAUUAAUUGAUUUAUAAUUACGUACGGUUGAAGGGAGUAGGAAAAAUAAAAAAUAUAUAUUUGAGACGAUUGAUAAAGAUGGCAGUUGUUAAGGACAAGCCGCCUGGCUUUCUGUGCGCCCAAAAAGCGGUUUUGUCCUUUUCGAAUAUCCUAUAUAUAUAUAUAUAUAUAUAUAUAUAUAUAUAUUUUACUUUAUAGUGCCCAUCACUAGUUAAUUGUGAAUUUAAAAUUUCAUUUAAUUAAUUUAUUAUAAUUAUUUUAAUAUAUUUUAUAAUUUUAAAAUUUAAAUUUUAAUAUCUUUUCGUAAUUAUCACAAGGAACUAAUCCGGCGCCAUGACAUACCAAUUUAAGAAUCUGACUUUGGGUGAUUCAUAAAUUUCUUGCAUAAGAAAUUGCUUGAAGGGCUACGCAGUUCACACACCGUUUAAGAUCAAAAGAAGAUUCAGAAUUAAAACCAAAAAAUAAUAAUAAUAAUAAUAAUAAAGAAGUUGAUUGAGACGGGAGUGGUGGAAGAGGAUAAGCUGUGAAGCUUCUAGUUUAUUUCCCUAUCUAUGAAUGAAAAAAAAAAAAAACAAGGAUUAAAGUUUUUUUAAUAAAAAUUUAAUAAUUAUUAAAAAUUUUAAUAUUUUAUUAUGAUCAAUUAAAUUUUUUAUUUUUUUAUUUUGAUUCAAUUAAAUUUUUAUUGAACAAACCUUAAAACAUAAUAAAAUUAAAUCAUUAAUUUUUAAAUUAUAAUCAAUUAAAUCUUUAAAAAUAUAAAAAAAUAAUUAUUUAUUUACUUUUCACAUAUAUAAUUAUGCAAUAUAAUAAAUAUCUAUCUGUUUAUUAUUAUAUGAAAUUUCAUUUUAAUUGAUAAAAUUAACGAUAUUUAAAUACAAAUUAAUAUUAAAGGUAUUACUUGAAAUAAAAAAAAUAAAAAUGUAAAUAACUUUUUAAUUACAAUUCAGAGAUUUUUAUAUAUUAAAACAAACAAAAAGUUUUACUUUUAUUUCCGUGUGGCACUCAUGUGUCGAGCCAAAAGUCAAUCACAUUGUCCGUCAAAAAAGAAAAAAAAAGGGAGAUUUCAAUUUUUUUAUUCUUUUUUUGUUUGUAUUUGUUCAUCUAUAACAAAUUGAUCACAUGAAAAGGAUUGUCUAAGGGUAAUCCGCUCAAACUGACAAUCACUGAAUUUCUAACAAUCAUGAAUGAUAAUGGUACUGAAUGUUGACACAAAAAUGCUUACAAACUUGACCAGCUUGGUAUCUUGGAUGCAGCUCGGUAAUUGAAACCUCAAUUUUUGAGACUACCACAAUUUCAUUUCUGGAUUGACUGGAUUGUGUUGCCCCUGAAUUUAAGUGCUGCGACCACAGCAUCCCUGAUUGAGUGUUGCUGUGCAAAAAAAUGCAGGUUGUGAGGGUAGUGGCAGAGUGACAGAGUGGCUAGUAAGCAUCAGAACAACCGAAGCCAUGUUUGGUCUCGCAGCUACAUUUUCUUGAACACAAAGCAGCCCGAUGUGGAUGCAUCUCAUCAGCUCAGUUCUUGAACCAUCUCUAAAACUGGGAUCUACAAGAUCCAUUACUGUCCCAUUCUUCCAAUUUCUCCAAGCCUGCAGCGUUUAAUUCAUGCAAAUUAUUAAACAGUAAAUUCUUUUAAUGCUUUGGACAAGUAUCAUAUGAGUUACAAUCUCAUGCUUGAGGACAAAGGAAUACUUACAAAGUUUAGAAGAUCUUCUACAUUACUCCCAUUAUGGAAAGCACUAUUUUUUUGACCACUUAAAAUCUCCAUAAGUAGCACACCAAAACUAAAAACAUCGGACUUAACAGAAAAUUGUCCAUGCGUUGCAUAUUCAGGCGCCAUGUAUCCGCUACAAGUUAAUAAAAGAAAAAUUAGUUUUCCUUGUGGAAAAAAAGGGACACAUGACUUACCAAUCUUUUGAAUUGUUCAAGUGAGGAUGAUCAUCGGUCAUGCAUCAGCCAAGAUUUUUCUUUUAUUCACAUGAUGGGAAGGCAGUUUAACAAAAAUAAUAAUAGUAUAUGCAAUUAAAAGUGUAAUUAUUGACUCAGAAGAUUUCUAACACUUACCAUGUUCCCACGAUUCUAUUAGCAACCCCUUGAGUUUGAUCAACUGCAACCAAUCUUGUCAUGCCAAAAUCUGUAAUUUUAGGAUUCAUCUCUGCGUCUAAUAAUAUAUUGCUUGCUUUGAGAUCACAAUGAAUAAUUUUAAGUAGAGAAUCUUGAUGAAGAUAAAAAAGUCCUCGAGAGAUGCCUCUUAUGACUUUGUAUCGUCUUUCCCAAUUCAAAUAUGUACGGUUAACCGGAUCUGCAUCACCAUAAAUGUACGAAUCCUAAUUAAUAAAAUAAAACAUGGAUGUUGGUCUUUUGCUUUGUAGUAUACAUUCUAUAAUACACCGAUAUAUCAUACCAAAUAAUGAUUUAUCCAGACUUGUGUUAGGCACAAACUCAUAGAUGAGAAGCCUUUCAUUUCCUCCUAGGCAGAAACCUUGAAGCCUAACCAAAUUCCUGUGCUGAAGCUUGGCCAAUAACUGAACUUCGUUUUUGAAUUCAAGAUCUCCUUGUCCGGAUUCUGUAGACAGUCUUUUCACUGCUAUUAAUUCUCCAUUGGCAAGUGUGCCCUGAGAAGAUAUCAGAAUGAAUUAUAUAUGUAUAUGCCUAUUGAACUUGCAUACCCAUUUUAUUUCUUACGGAUGAUCAUUAUCGUCUUACCUUAUAAACUGCCCCAAAUCCACCUUGUCCAAGCUUAUUUGCGUCAGAAAAGUGAUUUGUUGCAGCUCUAAUGGUGUUGAAAUCAUAUUGCAAGGACUCUGCACUUGUGAUUCCAUCCACGGCUUCAGCUGCUUCACGCUCUUCAGAGGUGUAACAAAAGAACAAAAACAUAAACAAGUAAACAUUAGAUUUAGUCACGAGCUAAAUUCAUUAACAACAUUCCAAAAGGAAAAAGAACAAGAACACACUGACACACAAAAAACAAAGAAGAAAAUCAAUAAACCGAUUCUUUUACUUACUUUCAGCAUUCACCUUUGACUUCCUCGCCCCUAAAAAGAUGCAGACGCAGCAGGAAAUGAGAAGUACCGCAAAAGCGACGGCCGAGACGGUUAUGAUAAUAGUAGUUCGAGAUGAAUUACUCUUUUUUCCUGCAAAAUUUCAAAAAAAUGCGUUUUCUAUAAGAGUGCUGAAAUAGUUAACUUUGGAACUACUCUUAACUUAAUUAGUUAAAUUAGAGAAACCCUUUUCUCUGUUGUCUAGGAAAAUAAAAUUUUUACAGGCACACAUCCCAUUGAUACAAGACGGAGAAAUUCUUGAUAUUCUGAGGUAGACGUUCUCAUUUGGGAAAGAAACAACUGUUGAAUUGACAAAACAAAGCAGAAAGCGUACCUGUUGUACUUGUGGUAUCGUUUGAGAGCGGGGGAGAUAGUGGGGAUGCUGGUGUUGGUGGCGGUGAUGAUGGUAUUGGUAUAUCAGCAUUGGUAAGAUCAUAGAAACGUUCAACCUUAAACCUUAAAUUACAGCUAGGCCCAAUUAUCCUGCCUUCUUGUUUUCUGUCACAGCAUACCGGAAUAAAUCCAAUAGCCCGAGACAAGCAAGAGCUGCAGUCAACCUCGGUCAAAUCAGGAGUGCAUUGAACAAGUGCAUAUACCGUUUGGAAAGCUGAAACUUCUGCACUUCCUGUUGCAAACUUGCGAAGGGAAGUCCCCGAUGAAGCGUUAUUUCUUAGGGUAUCCAACACGGAACCCAGGGCCUGAUUAAAAGCAUCCACAUUCGUGACGUUAUUUACAUUCCACAUGUAGAACGAAGGGUUGAUCUCCAUAACACCAAAGAUGGAGCGAUUUGCGUAGCGGAACAUGCAUUUAUUAUACCAGAUGAUUGCCUCUUUCUGGUUGGGGCAGAGAUUUCUGAGCGCAGCGGUUGCGUUAUUGAUGCAGCUGAUGCAAUCACCUGAAUUCACAUCUCCUCUGCAAAGUGCAAUUGCGUUAACUCUGUUCGAGCCUUGGCCGGAUGAAAAAUUGUAGAACCCGUAAUCAUUUGCUGUGUUAAAGGAGGAAGAGGAAAGGAGGCGAUUGAGGUUUGUCUCGUAAGUGCUGUUUCUGGUGAAGUUACCACUACUCUCUAAACAGAAAUAAUAUAGAGGCUGUUGUUGGGCAAUGGUAAGAGUAAGAAGGAAUGUAAUAGUUGAAGAGAAGAAAAACUGCCAUGAAAAUUCCAUUGCCUUGCCUGCGGAGUACAGUAGUGUUCUGCUUCUGCGUCUCCAAAGCUUGUUGGACCUAUGAUUUUCAAAGUUUAUAUUAUAAUGAUGAAUGCUCCUUCUAUCAUGGAGUUGAUUGUUUACAAAAUCAACAUCGUGUUAACAUGCUUAAAACCUUCACGAUUUAGAAAUUGAUAGCUAAUGAUAGUGAAAACAUUUCAAACACAAAGCUGUAAAAAAUUUCCUUAAGAUGAAAAAUCCAUGCUUGAUGCAUACGUAACGGAUUAAAAUUCUAAGCGAGCCACAGCAACGCGGUGUCCGUAACUCCCAGUCCUUGUUGAAUCUUGACAAAAAACUAAAGUUUGAAACGUUACCAUUUCAAGAGGUAAUGAACACGGCAUCUGGCCAAAAACAGAAUGGUAAUUAAUGCGACAAGUCCAUGACAACAUGGGAAAAUCCCUUGGUUUGAUGGUUAAACUCUGACUUUUCCAAGUCAAAAAGUACGGUAUUUAAUUGGAAAUCCAAGUUUCCUUGGUUUCAAAUUUUUCAUGUAGAAACAUGCAGGACGGUCUCUUGUGUUCCCUGUCUAAUUUUGCUCUCCAGGAACCAGGGUAAAAUUCUGCCAUCGCUUGGACAUCUCUGUCAGGGAAGUGAGGAUUACGGGUAAUUAUUGAGAAUUUCACACGUUUUUAGGCAAUAAUUCUGAUUAAGUGACUUUAACUAUGUGCUCUAAUGUCCACUCUUUUGUUGAUAAGGAUAUGUUAUGGGUAAAGGAAUGCCCUGAUUGAGUUUCAUUCAAUUUCAUUGAUUUAAAAUUAAAUGAGUGAAACAAAGUUAUUCCUCUAAAAAUAAAAAAAAACCAAACCGUUGUUAACUGUUACGUGGAGACGGUAUCUAUAGGUUCAGCUAUAAUCAUAUUAAUUUGGUUGAAUUUUCUUAGAUAAAGUUGUUUUUUUCUUCUUUUUUAGAAAAAAAAAAAAAAUACAAAAGCUAAUAUAAUUGCGUCUGAAAUGGGGAAGUGGGAACUGCUGACUCUCAGAUAAAUCAGGCAAUGAUGGCGAUUGGUAAAGAUGCAAGAACUUUGCUGUGGUCUAAUCACCCUUCUCAGUCCCAAUCAAAAGACAUAAUAUUAUUUUUUAGUCUCUCGGGAGAUUAUUCUUGAAUAAAUUGAGAUGACAGUGGAAAAUAAGGUGAUAGAAAAUUCGCUAAUGGCGACUGAAGUGGAUGAAUGACAUCUAACGGGCAAUUUUUAAUUCCUGAAAAAAGUUAUUUCGGAAAGAUGAAUCAGUCCUGAAAUCAUUUAGUUACCCUUUUUCUAUUAGAAAAUGUGGCUUACUAUAGGAAAAGUUUUCCUUGUAAAAUCCAUACUGCAUUGUGCCGAGUCUUUCUUCUUUUUUUUUUUUUUUUUUAAAGGAUAGUGGUGUUAAUUGAGAAAGAGAAAUGUAGUCUUAUGAAGUGGGUACUCAGCUUCGCCGUAGUAUCUCUUACGUGUCACCUCAAUUCCCAGGAGGUAGUGCAUUGGAAAGGAAAUAGGAUCUCUGGACACAGAAAACUAUGGAGUUUGCUACAUUCAUGAUUUCAAAAAUAACAGUAAAGAUAUCAAUUAAUUGUUGUAUAAAAUUCUUAUAGAAAUGUAACUAUCAUCAGGCUGCUAGCUACUGUUUCUUCAACUUAACUGUUAUAAGUUCAUUUAUAUAGUAGUGCUAAUGCUGAUUCGUUUGAAAACAUUUACUUUUGUUUUCUCUUGGGGAAAAUUAUGCUCCCCCAAAUAAAUUGUUCAAGCCAAGAUAAUUCUACAAUAAGCACAUUUACGGGUUAAAUAUAGCUUCUUCAUUAGCAUAUAAAACUGCAAGAGACAAAUGAUGAGCAGCUUAGUUGAUUUAAUAAAACAUGUAGAAUACUACAGAAUAUCAAGAUUUUGGGGGUAAAUAACUCUUGUAUGUCCAGUUCAUACAUAAAGUGACUGGAUCAAGUACACAAGUACCACUACUUAAUCGUACCAAAUAUUCACAGCAAUGGCAGAAAAAGGACUUAUUCAACAUUGGCAGAUUGCUUUCUAUACUGAGGAAGCAUCUAUUAACUCACUUUACCGAGGGUCUAAUUCAGUAAUCGAUGCCUCAUUGAUAGACCAUGGCAUUGAUCGACUAGUGGAUUGAUCAGAUUCCAUCUCCUUGUUUGGCAUACUUCCCUCUGUUCUGCUGUGAAGGAAAAAUGCCGGUUGCUUAGGUAAUGGUAGUGUGACAGAGUAACUGUUAAGCAUGAGAACAAUGGUAGUCAUCGUAGGCCUGUCAACUGGAUCUUCCUGAACACAUAAUAACCCAAUUUGGAUGCAUCUAAUGACUUCAUUUCU